RNAcentral lists this ribosomal RNA (1335 nucleotides) under uncultured bacterium. RNAcentral describes it as "bacterial SSU rRNA". It matches the Rfam family "Bacterial small subunit ribosomal RNA", at positions 27 to 1381 of the family's 1533-position model. The record is from RNAcentral.
GGAUGAACGUUGGCGGCGUGCCUAAUACAUGCAAGUCGAACGAAGACUGUAGUAAUACUGUCUUAGUGGCGAACGGGUGAGUAACGCGUGGGUGACCUGCCCCGAAGUGUGGGAUAACAGUCCGAAAGGAUUGCUAAUACUGCAUAAUAUCCAAGAGAUUAGAUGCUUUUGGAUUAAAGGAGUAAUUCGCUUCGGGAGGGGCCCGCGUCCCAUCAGCUAGUUGGUAAGGUAAUGGCUUACCAAGGCGAUGACGGGUAGGGGACCUGAGAGGGUGGCCCCCCACAAUGGAACUGAAACACGGUCCAUACACCUACGGGUGGCAGCAGUAGGGAAUAUUAGUAAUGGGCGAAAGCCUGAACUAGCAACGCCGCGUGUGCGAAGAAGGCCUUCGGGUCGUAAAGCACUUUUUGAGAGGAUGAGGAAGGACGGUACUCUCAGAAUAAGUCUCGGCUAACUACGUGCCAGCAGCCGCGGUAACACGUAGGAGGCAAACGUUAUCCGGAUUUACUGGGCGUAAAGCGCGUGUAGGUGGUUUGGUAAGUAGGGCGUGAAAGCUCCUGGCUCAACUGGGAGAGGACGUUCUAAACUGCCAAGCUUGAGGAUGGUAGAGGGAGGUGGAAUUCCGGGUGUAGCGGUGGAAUGCGCAGAUAUCCGGAGGAACACCAGUGGCGAAGGCGGCCUCCUGGACCACUCCUGACACUCAGACGCGAAAGCUAGGGUAGCAAACGGGAUUAGAGACCCCGGUAGUCCUAGCCCUAAACGAUGUAGACUUGGCGUCGGUGGUUUAAUCGCCAUCGGUGUCGUAGCUAACGCGAUAAGUCUACCGCCUGGGGACUACGGCCGCAAGGUUAAAACUCAAAGGAAUUGACGGGUCCCCGCACAAGCAGCGGAGCGUGUGGUUUAAUUCGAUGCUACACGAAGAACCUUACCUGGGUUUGACAUAGAGGUAGUAGGGAAGCGAAAGCGGACCGACCCUUCGGGGAGCCUCUACAGGUGUUGCAUGGCUGUCGUCAGCUCGUGUCGUGAGAUGUUCGGUUAAGUCCCGCAACGAGCGCAACCCCUAUCUUUAAUUGCCAGCAUUCAGUUGGGCACUUUAAAGAGACUGCCGGUGUUAAACCGGAGGAAGGUGGGGAUGACGUCAAGUCCUCAUGGCCUUUAUGCUUAGGGCUACACACGUGCUACAAUGGGUGGUACAAAGAGCAGCUAACUCGCGAGAGCAAGCAAAUCUCAAAAAGCCAUCCUCAGUUCGGAUUGGAGUCUGCAACUCGACUCCAUGAAGUUGGAAUCGCUAGUAAUCGCGGAUCAGCACGCCGCGGUGAAUGCGUUCCCGGGCCU